Molecule: ribosomal RNA, 460 nt
Filed under: uncultured bacterium
Lineage: Bacteria
Description: partial 16S ribosomal RNA
Rfam family: Bacterial small subunit ribosomal RNA
Source: RNAcentral
CCUACGGGAGGCAGCAGUGAGGAAUAUUGGUCAAUGGCCGCAGGGCUGAACCAGCCAAGUCGCGUGAGGGAUGACGGUCCUAUGGAUUGUAAACCUCUUUUGUCAGGGAGCAAAGGGCGCCACGUGUGGCGUUUUGCGAGUACCUGAAGAAAAAGCAUCGGCUAACUCCGUGCCAGCAGCCGCGGUAAUACGGAGGAUGCGAGCGUUGUCCGGAUUUACUGGGUGUAAAGGGCGUGUAGCCGGGAAGGCAAGUCAGAUGUGAAAUCCGGAGGCUCAACCUCCGAAUUGCAUUUGAAACUGUUUUUCUUGAGUACUGGAGAGGCAGACGGAAUUCCUUGUGUAGCGGUGAAAUGCGUAGAUAUAAGGAGGAACACCAGUGGCGAAGGCGGUCUGCUGGACAGCAACUGACGGUGAGGCGCGAAAGCGUGGGGAGCAAACAGGAUUAGAUACCCGGGUAGUC